RNAcentral lists this long non-coding RNA (696 nucleotides) under Linum usitatissimum (flax). RNAcentral's name for it is "long non-coding RNA (LUSI_LNC003260)". The record is from RNAcentral. Lineage: Eukaryota; Viridiplantae; Streptophyta; Magnoliopsida; Malpighiales; Linaceae.
GACUUGACAUGAUUCUUCUUUCUUCGACGAAUCCGUAGCUUCUGAUCGUGCGGCGUUUGGAGUCCAAACGAUCGAGUUAUGCUCCAAUUUCUUAUUUGCAACAAUCUGAGACUUACAAGGUCAAAAACGUUGCGCUAGUCCUCUAACGGCUCUGUAACUAACCCGGAACUUCCAGAUGUUGUCAAAUUUAACCCAAUUCCUUAAAUGUAAACUAUUCAAAAGUUCAGUGCUACGGAAUUAAGACUUAAGAUAAACCAAAUUCCAGAAUAGUCAAUUAUCUUUCUAACUUGCAGGUCGGGUCACUGAACUCCUCCAUGAUUGCGGGGAGGUCACCCUUCUUCUCCGGUGAUGCUGGUCGCCUCCGGCGACAAAACCCAGAAUCCGGCGAGUCUCCGGCAAAGCUCCGACGACCACCAAUCUCCUUGAAAACGUCGCAACUGCCUCUAUCUUUGCCGUCACAGCCCUCUGGCUAACCCCUGCCGCCACUAGUUGUCCCCAACGCAGCCCACGCGCCGUCAGACCCUCUCCCGUUGAUCCGACGAUCUCCUUCUUGGAUCUGCGACCCCUCUCUCUCCACCGAAGGCGUCCGUCAACGCCGGAUUUUAUUUUCUUCCUUCAAUUCUCUCCUCCUCUACCACCCAAACACCAACGCCGACAUUAUCCUCCUCCAAUCUCAUGGAUUUUGGGAGCAUUGUG